Molecule: ribosomal RNA, 446 nt
Filed under: uncultured bacterium
Lineage: Bacteria
Description: bacterial SSU rRNA
Rfam family: Bacterial small subunit ribosomal RNA
Source: RNAcentral
GGCCAGACUCCUACGGGAGGCAGCAGUGGGGAAUAUUGCACAAUGGGGGAAACCCUGAUGCAGCGACGCCGCGUGAGUGAAGAAGUAUUUCGGUAUGUAAAGCUCUAUCAGCAGGGAAGAAAAUGACGGUACCUGACUAAGAAGCCCCGGCUAACUACGUGCCAGCAGCCGCGGUAAUACGUAGGGGGCGAGCGUUAUCCGGAUUCACUGGGUGUAAAGGGAGCGUAGACGGCCAUGCAAGCCAGGGGUGAAAGCCCGGGGCCCAACCCCGGGACUGCCCUUGGAACUGCAUGGCUGGAGUGCGGGAGGGGCAGGCGGAAUUCCUAGUGUAGCGGUGAAAUGCGUAGAUAUUAGGAGGAACACCAGUGGCGAAGGCGGCCUGCUGGACGAUGACUGACGUUGAGGCUCGAAAGCGUGGGGAGCAAACAGGAUUAGAUACCCCUGUA